Molecule: ribosomal RNA, 497 nt
Filed under: uncultured bacterium
Lineage: Bacteria
Description: partial 16S ribosomal RNA
Rfam family: Bacterial small subunit ribosomal RNA
Source: RNAcentral
GAUGAACGCUGGCGGCGUGCCUAAUACAUGCAAGUCGAGCGAACGGACGAGAAGCUUGCUUCUCUGAUGUUAGCGGCGGACGGGUGAGUAACACGUGGAUAACCUACCUAUAAGACUGGGAUAACUUCGGGAAACCGGAGCUAAUACCGGAUAAUAUUUUGAACCGCAUGGUUCAAAAGUGAAAGACGGUCUUGCUGUCACUUAUAGAUGGAUCCGCGCUGCAUUAGCUAGUUGGUAAGGUAACGGCUUACCAAGGCAACGAUGCGUAGCCGACCUGAGAGGGUGAUCGGCCACACUGGAACUGAGACACGGUCCAGACUCCUACGGGAGGCAGCAGUAGGGAAUCUUCCGCAAUGGGCGAAAGCCUGACGGAGCAACGCCGCGUGAGUGAUGAAGGUCUUCGGAUCGUAAAACUCUGUUAUUAGGAAAGAACAUAUGUGUAAGUAACUGUGCACAUCUUGACGGUACCUAAUCAGAAAGCCACGGCUAACUACGUG